AAAUUGAACGCUGGCGGAAUGCUUUACACAUGCAAGUCGAACGGCAGCACGGACUUCGGUCUGGUGGCGAGUGGCGAACGGGUGAGUAAUAUAUCGGAACGUAUCCAAUAAUGGGGGAUAACUAAUCGAAAGGUUGGCUAAUACCGCAUACGCCCUACGGGGGAAAGCUAGGGAUCUUCGGACCUGGCGUUAAUGGAGCGGCCGAUAUCUGAUUAGCUAGUUGGUGAGGUAAAGGCUCACCAAGGCGACGAUCAGUAGCUGGUCUGAGAGGACGACCAGCCACACUGGAACUGAGACACGGUCCAGACUCCUACGGGAGGCAGCAGUGGGGAAUUUUGGACAAUGGGCGCAAGCCUGAUCCAGCCAUUCCGCGUGAGUGAAGAAGGCCUUCGGGUUGUAAAGCUCUUUCGCAAGGGAAGAAAACUUAUCCUCUAACAUAGGAUGAGGUUGACGGUACCUUGAUAAGAAGCACCGGCUAACUACGUGCCAGCAGCCGCGGUAAUACGUAGGGUGCGAGCGUUAAUCGGAAUUACUGGGCGUAAAGCGUGCGCAGGCUGUUCUGUAAGUCAGAUGUGAAAUCCCCGAGCUCAACUUGGGAACUGCGUUUGAAACUACAGGACUAGAAUAUGUCAGAGGGGGGUAGAAUUCCACGUGUAGCAGUGAAAUGCGUAGAGAUGUGGAGGAAUACCAAUGGCGAAGGCAGCCCCCUGGGAUAAUAUUGACGCUCAUGCACGAAAGCGUGGGGAGCAAACAGGAUUAGAUACCCUGGUAGUCCACGCCCUAAACGAUGUCUACUAGUUGUUGGUGGAGUAAAAUCCAUGAGUAACGCAGCUAACGCGUGAAGUUGACC
RNAcentral lists this ribosomal RNA (850 nucleotides) under uncultured Methylophilaceae bacterium. Its description in RNAcentral is "bacterial SSU rRNA". It matches the Rfam family "Bacterial small subunit ribosomal RNA", at positions 26 to 870 of the family's 1533-position model. Lineage: Bacteria; Pseudomonadati; Pseudomonadota; Betaproteobacteria; Nitrosomonadales; Methylophilaceae. The record is from RNAcentral.